Raphanus sativus (radish) is the source of this 2173-nucleotide RNA transcript. It is a transcript of the gene named pentatricopeptide repeat-containing protein At2g01390-like, with no coding region annotated. The record is from RefSeq and is a predicted model, not a curated record. Lineage: Eukaryota; Viridiplantae; Streptophyta; Magnoliopsida; Brassicales; Brassicaceae. The transcript is spliced from 3 exons.
AGAACCAAAGGAGAAGGAACUGUCGAGUUGUAGAUUUAGACGAAGCAAGUAAGAGUGGAUAGGGAGCUUUGUUCAAAAUAAAUUUGGAUGAACUUGUCCGCAAAUACAUGCGCUUCUCCACCAUUUUCCGCAGAGCCCCAGUCCAUCUCCAAAGCUCCGUCAAGCUACUCCACUCUCUUCCCCGACCAAAACCCAGAAGAUUCUUCCAGAGACCAAAACUCGUCAAAACAAAAACCCCAGAAGCCAAGGUUUACACAAGAGACACAGUAUCCAACAUCUACAACAUCCUCAAGUACUCAACCUGGGACUCCGCUCUGUCCCAGCUCCCGCACCUCCCGAUCAAAUGGGACUCUCACAUAAUCAACCGCGUCUUGAAAUCCCAUCCUCCGAUGCAGAAAGCCUGGCUCUUUUUCAACUGGGCUUCCGACAUCAGAGGCUUCAAACACGACCACUUUACCUACACCACCAUGCUCGACAUCUUCGGCGAAGCGGGUCGGAUCCAGUCAAUGUACUCCGUUUUCCACCUUAUGAAGGAGAAGGGCGUGGCGAUCGAUACGGUGACGUAUACUUCGCUGAUUCACUGGGUUUCGAGCUCAGGGGAUGUCGACGAAGCGAUGAGGCUGUGGAAGGAGAUGAGGGAGAGUGGGUGCGAGCCUACCGUCGUGUCGUACACGGCUUACAUGAAGAUGCUUUUCGAUGUCGGGAGGGUUGAUGAAGCGACGGAGGUGUAUAAAGAGAUGUUACGGUCGAGGGUUUCUCCGAAUUGUCACACUUACACGGUGUUGAUGGAGUUUCUUGUCGGCUCUGGAAAAUGUGAGGAAGCUUUAGACAUUUUCUUUAAAAUGCAAGAGAUUGGUGUACAGCCAGAUAAAGCAGCUUGUAACAUUCUGAUUGGGAAAGCUUGUAAGUUCGGCGAAACGUCUUUCAUGGCUCGGAUUCUUGUAUACAUGAAAGAAAACGGGGUGGUCCUUCGUUACCCUGUAUUUCUCGAGGCUUUAGAGACUCUGAAAGCUGCAGGUCAAAGUGAUGAUUUGUUAAGAGAAGUCAAUUCGCAUAUUACUGUUGAAUCUGUGUGCUCCAACGACACCAUUGAAGCUGAAGUUGAUGACAAGAAGAGUUCAGAUGACAGUAGAAUUAUCAGCUCUGUUCUCUUGAUGAAGCAGAGUCUUGUUGCAGUUGAUUAUCUACUUAACCAGAUGAAAGAUAGAAACAUAAAGUUGGAUUCUUUUGUUGUUUCAGCAAUCGUUGAAACGAACUGUGGCCGUUGUAGAACCGAGGGGGCUUCGUUGGCCCUUGAUUACAGCUCGGAAAUGGGGAUUCAUCUCGAGAAAUCAGCGUAUCUUGCGUUAGUUGGUUACUUUCUGAGAGAAAACGAGUUUACUAAAGUUAUCGAAGUAGUCAAGGAGAUGGUGAAAGCCCAUCACUCACUUGGUGUGUACCGAGGAGCAACGUUGAUCCACAGGCUUGGGUUUGGCAGAAGACCUCGCUUAGCUGCAGAGGUUUUCCACUUGCUUCCCGACGAUGAAAAGGGCUUAGCUGCUUACACUGCGCUGAUGGAUGUUUAUAUCUCAGCAGGGAGUCCAGAGAAGGCAAUGAAGAUAUUUGAAGAGAUGAGAGGACGUGAGAUCAUGCCUUCGCUGGGGACAUACAAUGUUCUCUUGUCUGUUCUUGAGAAAACCAGUGACUUCCAGAGACAAGCAGCGUUGUUGAAGAAGGAGAAGAAGAGUCUUGUUGCUACUGGCCGUUUCCGGGAAGAUGUCGAUGCAGAAGAGAGAGUCUGUGAUCUUCUGUUUGCUAGGAAUCUGUAAUAUAACUGCAAGUGAAGCCAACAUACAUGUUUAAACGAAUCCCAUUAGCCACAAUGUAGGUUCUUCUCAGGCUCGUACAGUUUCUCAAAGCACCUAAUUUGAUCGAAUUAGCCAGAAGUGUAUUCUCUGUGCUAAUGACUCGAGGUAGUUAGUUGAGGUUGAGUUAUUAGGGAUGGUUUGAUCAGGAGACUUCUAUGAAUCCCAGAAGCUCAUGUGUUAUAUGCUUCCAACCAGUGAGAUUUCACUAAAAUUAAUGUAACCAUUAAAUGUCUGUUGAAAUUUUUUGACAUUUCUGCUGUGUAGCUUUUUCGAAUUUCUCUAUAUUGCGCUUGUCCUAUGAAGUUUGGGAAGCAAAUAUGAUUUCU